CAAAGGACUGUCUGAAACCAUGAGCAACCCGUAUGCACACCUUGUAGAGCUCCUGGGCCCCCAGAAGCCAGAAAAGAAGUUCUACAAUCUGUGCAAUUUGAGAGAUCCCAGAUAUGAGGGAUGCCUGCCGUGGUGGACUUUGCUGUCAUGCGAGACGCUGUUAAAAAGUUAGGAGGAGACCCAGAGAAGAUCAGUCCUGUGUGUCCGGCUGACUUAGUGAUUGACCACUCCAUCCAUGUGGAUUUCAAUAGGAAGGGGAAAAUAUUCGACUCAUUCUAUGUGAAAACAUCUCCAAAGUGAGGGGGUAGGAGGUGGAUUUCUGCUGUGAUACGUGUUCAGAAACUGGUCUGUAUUCUAAUGAGCAUCUUAUUUGAAACCUCUGCUUCAAUAUAAAAAAAAUGAAUAUUUCAACAUCUUUUGCAGGACUGAAAGUUUACAGAAGAAUGAGGAGUUGGAGUUUGAAAGAAACAAAGAGAGAUUUGAGUUUUUAAAGGUUGCUUUUUGCUUAUUAAAAUACACAGUUUAUGUCUGGGCAGUAGUCCAUAAAGCUGCCAUUGCCUUCAGUAGUGUGAGUCUGAUAAUUUUGUGAUUCUGCUGGGUGUCUAGUGGGGAUCAAAGGCUUUCCGCAAUAUGAGGAUUAUUCCCCCAGGAUCGGGAAUCGUUCACCAGGUCAAUCUGGAGUACCUGGCGAAGGUGAUGUUUGAACAGGAUGGCUUCUUUUACUCAGACAGCCUUGUGGGUACUGACUCCCACACAACCAUGAUCGGUGGACUUGGAGUUCUAGGCUGGGGUAAACACAUAUUCUCGGACAUUUACAUUACACUGUGUUUGUUGAUCUGAACUCAUUGCUAAAACCUACCAAAAUCAUUUAAUGUCUCAUAAAACCCAGCAUAUGUAAUAUGGAUAUAUCAAAUAAUACCCUAAAUAAUAUGUGCACUUGCAUUCAUGAUACAGUUCAUGUUAUAUCAGAAUUUGUUUUUCAACUGUUACCAUACCAGGUAUUUUUCCUUUUUUCAGUAUUUAUUUUAGAUUAUUAUCUCAAAAGUCAUCAUGUUACACCAACUGUGCCUGAGAGAAAAAAAAAAAAACAAGAACACCAAAUAAAAAUUCAAAAUAA
Acipenser ruthenus (sterlet) is the source of this 1117-nucleotide long non-coding RNA. RefSeq lists it as uncharacterized. The record is from RefSeq and is a predicted model, not a curated record. The transcript has 3 exons. NCBI's taxonomy places the organism in Eukaryota, Metazoa, Chordata, Actinopteri, Acipenseriformes, Acipenseridae.